This 454-nucleotide ribosomal RNA is filed under the name uncultured bacterium. RNAcentral's name for it is "bacterial SSU rRNA". It matches the Rfam family "Bacterial small subunit ribosomal RNA", at positions 340 to 783 of the family's 1533-position model. The record is from RNAcentral.
UACGGAAGGCAGCAGUGGGGAAUAUUGCACAAUGGGCGAAAGCCUGAUGCAGCUAUGCCGCGUGUAUGAAGAAGGCCUUAGGGUUGUAAAGUACUUUCAUCGGGGAGGAAAAACAAAACUAAUAAUUUUAUUUCUUGACGUUACCCGAAAAAGAAGCACCGGCUAACUCCGUGCCAGCAGCCGCGGUAAUACGGAGGGUGCUAGCGUUAAUCAGAAUUACUGGGCGUAAAGAGCACGUAGGUGGUUUUUUUAAGUCAGAUGUGAAAUCCCUGGGCUUAACCUAGGAACUGCAUUUUGAAACUGAAAUACUAGAGUAUCGUAGAGGGAGGUAGAAUUCUAGGUGUAGCGGUGAAAUGCGUAGAUAUCUGGAGGAAUACCUGUGGCGAAAGCGGCCUCCUAAACGAAUACUGACACUGAGGGUGCGAAAGCGUGGGGAGCAAACGAGGGAUUAGAU